AACGAACGCUGGCGGCAUGCCUAACACAUGCAAGUCGAACGAGACCUGCGGGUCUAGUGGCGCACGGGUGCGUAACGCGUGGGAACCUGCCCUUAGGUUCGGAAUAACUCCCCGAAAGGGGUGCUAAUACCGGAUAAUGUCUUCGGACCAAAGAUUUAUCGCCUUUGGAUGGGCCCGCGUUGGAUUAGCUAGUUGGUAGGGUAAAAGCCUACCAAGGCGACGAUCCAUAGCUGGUCUGAGAGGAUGAUCAGCCACACUGGGACUGAGACACGGCCCAGACUCCUACGGGAGGCAGCAGUGGGGAAUAUUGGAAAAUGGGCGAAAGCCUGAUCCAGCAAUGCCGCGUGAGUGAUGAAGGCCUUAGGGUUGUCAAGCUCUUUUACCCGGGAUGAUAAUGACAGUACCGGGAGAAUAAGCUCCGGCCAACUCCGUG
RNAcentral lists this ribosomal RNA (433 nucleotides) under uncultured bacterium. RNAcentral's name for it is "partial 16S ribosomal RNA". It matches the Rfam family "Bacterial small subunit ribosomal RNA", at positions 29 to 507 of the family's 1533-position model. The record is from RNAcentral.